Scleropages formosus (Asian bonytongue) is the source of this 452-nucleotide long non-coding RNA. RefSeq lists it as uncharacterized. The transcript is spliced from 3 exons. The record is from RefSeq and is a predicted model, not a curated record. Lineage: Eukaryota; Metazoa; Chordata; Actinopteri; Osteoglossiformes; Osteoglossidae.
ACAAGGCCACACCACAUUGCGUCGGAGCGUGCGUUGGUCGAAGAAGAAAACGGCGACAUGUCGGAGAAGAAACAAACCGUAGAUCUGGGGUUGUUAGAAGAGGAUGACGAGUUUGAAGAGUUCCCAGCUGAAGAUUGGACCGGUUUGGAUGAAGAUGAAGAUGCUCAUGUGUGGGAAGAUAACUGGGAUGAUGACAAUGUAGAAGAUGACUUUUCCAACCAACUGAGGGCAGAGCUUGAAAAACAUGGCUACAAAAUGGAGACGUCAUAGGAAGAUGUUUGCAGAAAAGACUUUGGAUGUUCUCAGAAAAAUGGAAGACUGCAUGCCUACAGGACCUGUUUCUCUGUUUUGUAAAGAUUACAACAAUAAAAGUGUUGAACAGAAAUAAGUUUUAUUUUUUCAAUAACAAGCUGAUUUGUAAAUGCCAUUGAUAUUAAACACGUUUAAUGGUU